GUAAAGAAGAUGUGUUAGGUUUACAACGCUCUUCUCAGCAUUGUAUUGAAGUUUGUUUAGAUAGAGGCGGUUUUGGAACCUCACCUGAUGUACUCUUUCAAAUAUUCUGUGAUAUUACAAUGUUGCCCUUAGUGAUUGCAUGUGACCUGUUUUGCGGGAGAAGCGGACCUUACGACGCUGAAUAGGAAAAUUAGUUUGAACUAAUAUUAUAUCACAUGGAGUUUCAAGGGGUGGAUAAGGUAGCAGUCUAACUGCCUGUCAGGGUAUCAUAUGGAAGUGUAUAUCAGGUGUAUCAAAUCCGUACACCACAUACCUAAUCAAUCCUUUUUUUAGGACAGCCGUGUUUCUGUUUCAUUGACAACGAAUAGCGGCGGAUAAAGCCAGCACUAAUCGGAAUUGAGGGUUUGGAUCAAGGUUACAUCAGGAAGGUUUUGCUUUCAUAUUUUCUUUGCGAAUCCAUGGUUAACCCCGUGUUUUGAUCGGUAUGAAAAAGUUGUCCAACGGGAAAGUACAGAAACCUUUAUUCAACAUUUGAUAAAAUGAAUUGAUGGAAAUCUGGCACCGUUAUGAAAUUCAUCUUCUCCGGAAGAAGAAGCACGUGCUGCGACGUCAUCACGGAGACAAUGACAUGUAUUCUACGACUUGUUUUUAUUGAUUUUUCAAAGUCCGUCUUUGUCUUUUUCUGCUUUGGAUCCAUUAGUAUAUCCUCCGAAAAAUCAUUCACCUCCUUCUAAACUCUCUUCAUGCAUGUCUGUUUUAUGAUCCAAAGCAGUUGGUACAAAUCUGAAGCAAUGGAUCUCGCAAAGAUUCGGAUUCAAAUUCUUUGCAGAUUAAUAUUUCGCUAUACACAGACAACAUGAUGUGUGUUGAUCCUUAUAUGUCAUUGUGUCUGGUUUGUUCCAUGUAACCAUUUUUUGGAGUAUUGUUU
RNAcentral lists this unclassified non-coding RNA (928 nucleotides) under Kluyveromyces nonfermentans. Lineage: Eukaryota; Fungi; Ascomycota; Saccharomycetes; Saccharomycetales; Saccharomycetaceae. The record is from RNAcentral.